GAUGAACGCUGGCGGCGUGCCUAAUACAUGCAAGUCGAACGAAACUUCUUUAUCACCGAGUGCUUGCACUCACCGAUAAAGAGUUGAGUGGCGAACGGGUGAGUAACACGUGGGCAACCUGCCCAAAAGAGGGGGAUAACACUUGGAAACAGGUGCUAAUACCGCAUAACCAUAGUUACCGCAUGGUAACUAUGUAAAAGGUGGCUAUACUACCGCUUUUGGAUGGGCCCGCGGCGCAUUAGCUAGUUGGUAGGGUAAAGGCUUACCAAGGUAAUGAUGCGUAGCCGAAUUGAGAGGUUGAUCGGCCACAUUGGGACUGAGACACGGCCCAAACUCCUACGGGAGGCAGCAGUAGGGAAUCUUCCACAAUGGGCGAAAGCCUGAUGGAGCAACGCCGCGUGGGUGAAGAAGGUCUUCGGAUCGUAAAACCCUGUUGUUAGAGAAGAAAGUGCGUGAGAGUAACUGUUCACGUUUCGACGGUAUCUAACCAGAAAGCCACGGCUAACUACGUG
This 512-nucleotide ribosomal RNA is filed under the name uncultured bacterium. RNAcentral describes it as "partial 16S ribosomal RNA". It matches the Rfam family "Bacterial small subunit ribosomal RNA", at positions 28 to 507 of the family's 1533-position model. The record is from RNAcentral.